UACGUAGGGUGCAAGCGUUGUCCGGAAUUAUUGGGCGUAAAGAGCUCGUAGGCGGUCUGUCGCGUCGGCUGUGAAAACCCGGGGCUCAACCCCGGGCCUGCAGUCGAUACGGGCAGACUAGAGUGCGGUAGGGGAGACUGGAAUUCCCGGUGUAGCGGUGAAAUGCGCAGAUAUCGGGAGGAACACCAGUAGCGAAGGCGACACUCUGGGCCGGUACUGACGCUGAGGAGCGAAAGCGUGGGGAGCAAACAGG
This 253-nucleotide ribosomal RNA is filed under the name uncultured bacterium. Its description in RNAcentral is "partial 16S ribosomal RNA". It matches the Rfam family "Bacterial small subunit ribosomal RNA", at positions 524 to 776 of the family's 1533-position model. The record is from RNAcentral.